GGUCAAGUUAUUAAGGGUGCAGGGCGGAUGCCUUGGCACUAGGAGCCGAUGAAGGACGUGAUAAGCUGCGAUAAGCUUCGGGGAGUUGCACGUAAACUUUGAUCCGAAGAUUUCCGAAUGAGGAAACUCACUUAGAGUAAUGUCUAAGUAUCAUUAAGUGAAUACAUAGCUUAAUGAGGGGAACUCAGGGAACUGAAACAUCUAAGUACCUGAAGGAAGAGAAAGAAAUUCGAUUCCGUAAGUAGCGGCGAGCGAACGCGGAUUAGCCCAAACCAAUAAAGUUUUCUUUAUUGGGGUUGCGGACAUAUCAUAACGAAGAGGUAUCGUAAUUGAAGAGGUUUGGAAAGACCCACCACAGAAGGUAAUAGUCCUGUAUGUUAAACGAGAAGACUUUAGAUAUGAUCCAGAGUACCACGGGACACGUGAAACCCUGUGGGAAGCAGGAGGGACCACCCUCCAAGGCUAAAUACUACCUAGUGACCGAUAGCGUAUAGUACCGUGAGGGAAAGGUGAAAAGAACCCCGGGAGGGGAGUGAAAUAGAACCUGAAACCCUGCACUUACAAGCUGUGGAAGCACAUUUCUUGUGUGACCGCGUACUUUUUGUAGAACGGGCCAACGAGUUACGUUAAGUAGCAAGGUUAAGCACUUAAGGUGCGGAGCCGUAGCGAAAGCGAGUUUUAACUGAGCGUUCAGUUACUUGACGUAGACCCGAAACCGGGCGACCUACCCAUGAGCAGGAUGAAGCGAAAGUAAAAUUUCGUGGAGGUCCGAACCCACGAGCGUUGAAAAGCUCGGGGAUGACUUGUGGGUAGCGGUGAAAUUCCAAUCGAGCCCGGAGAUAGCUGGUUCUCCCCGAAAUAGCUUUAGGGCUAGCCUCAAGGUGAGAGAUACGGAGGUAGAGCACUGAAUGUCCUAGGGGGUAUUGCACCUACCGAAGACUAUCAAACUCCGAAUGCCGUCAUCUUAUACUUGGGAGUCAGACUGUGGGUGAUAAGAUUCAUAGUCGAAAGGGCAACAGCCCAGAUCGUCAGCUAAGGUCCCUAAAUGUAAGUUAAGUGGUAAAGGAUGUGGGAUUGCACAGACAACCAGGAUGUUGGCUUAGAAGCAGCCACUCAUUCAAAGAGUGCGUAAUAGCUCACUGGUCGAGUGAUCCUGCGCCGAAGAUUUCCGGGGCUAAAACUUACUACCGAAGCUACGGCAUCAGUAAUGAUGGGUAGGGGAGCUUCCCAUACGGGUUGAAGCAUGACCGUAAGGACAUGUGGACAGUAUGGGAGUGAGAAUGUUGGCAUGAGUAGCGAGAUGUGGGUGAGAAUCCCACAGGCCGUAAACCCAAGGUUUCCAGGGGAAGGUUCGUCCGCCCUGGGUUAGUCGGGACCUAAGCUGAGGCCGAAAGGCGUAGGUGAUGGACAACAGGUUGAUAUUCCUGUACUACCGAUAACCGUUUGAGAGA
Molecule: ribosomal RNA, 1451 nt
Filed under: Clostridioides difficile
Lineage: Bacteria; Bacillati; Bacillota; Clostridia; Peptostreptococcales; Peptostreptococcaceae
Description: partial 23S ribosomal RNA
Rfam family: Bacterial large subunit ribosomal RNA
Source: RNAcentral